UAGGGAAUCUUCCACAAUGGACGAAAGUCUGAUGGAGCAACGCCGCGUGAGUGAAGAAGGUUUUCGGAUCGUAAAGCUCUGUUGUUGGUGAAGAAGGAUAUAGGCAGUAACUGGUCUUUAUUUGACGGUAAUCAACCAGAAAGUCACGGCUAACUACGUGCCAG
Molecule: ribosomal RNA, 164 nt
Filed under: uncultured bacterium
Lineage: Bacteria
Description: partial 16S rRNA
Rfam family: Bacterial small subunit ribosomal RNA
Source: RNAcentral